GAUGAAGAACGUAGCGAAAUGCGAUAAGUAAUGUGAAUUGCAGAAUUCAGUGAAUCAUCGAAUCUUUGAACGCACAUUGCGCCCGCCAGUAUUCUGGCGGGCAUGCCUGUUCGAGCGUCAUUACAACCCUCAGGCCCCCGGGCCUGGCGUUGGGGAUCGGCCGAAGCCCCCUGCGGGCACAACGCCGUCCCCCAAAUACAGUGGCGGUCCCGCCGCAGCUUCCAUUGCGUAGUAGCUAACACCUCGCAACUGGAGAGCGGCGCGGCCACGCCGUAAAACACCCAACUUCUGAAUGUUGACCUCGAAUCAGGUAGGAAUACCCGCUGAACUUAAGCAUAUCAAUAAGCGGAGGA
This 353-nucleotide unclassified non-coding RNA is filed under the name soil metagenome. Its description in RNAcentral is "partial contains 5.8S ribosomal RNA, internal transcribed spacer 2, and large subunit ribosomal RNA". The stretch from base 1 to 120 matches the Rfam family "5.8S ribosomal RNA", at positions 35 to 154 of the family's 154-position model. The record is from RNAcentral.